Molecule: microRNA precursor, 67 nt
Filed under: Bombyx mori (domestic silkworm)
Lineage: Eukaryota; Metazoa; Arthropoda; Insecta; Lepidoptera; Bombycidae
Description: mir-2774 microRNA precursor family
Rfam family: mir-2774 microRNA precursor family
Source: Rfam by way of RNAcentral
AUAACAUUUGUACCGUCGGUCUACCGAGCAAUAUCACCCGCUCGGUGGAAGAUUUUCCAUCCGUCGU